Molecule: long non-coding RNA, 420 nt
Organism: Ochotona princeps (American pika)
Lineage: Eukaryota; Metazoa; Chordata; Mammalia; Lagomorpha; Ochotonidae
Exons: 2
Source: RefSeq, a predicted model, not a curated record
AAGGAGCCAAACUCAUCAUAUUGACAUGCUGACAGCAGUGACAGUAUCCCUGAGUGCUGGAACUCAGGCAAGCAUAAACAGGCCUGGCUGUGCUGCUCUGCCACAGCUCCUGCCACAGCCCUGCAGACUGCUCAGAAAGAAGACAAAAAGAAGAUACCAAGUAGAGAUGAGAGACUAGAGCCGGCAUGGUGAUUCAACAGGCUGAUCCGAUACCUGCAGCACCAUUAUUCCACUUGGUAGUUAGUUCUAGCAUUGGUUGCUUCAAUUCUGAUUCUCCUUGUUUAUGGACUGGGCAAUCAUCAGAGGAUGACUCAAGACCUUGGGUACCUGCAGCCACUGGGAAUGCUAGACUGCCUCUCUCUUUCUCCUGCUCUCUGUAUACCUUCGUUUUAAAAAAUAAAUAAAUCCAAAGGAACGAUA